RNAcentral lists this ribosomal RNA (522 nucleotides) under Bifidobacterium bifidum. Its description in RNAcentral is "bacterial SSU rRNA". It matches the Rfam family "Bacterial small subunit ribosomal RNA", at positions 168 to 702 of the family's 1533-position model. Lineage: Bacteria; Bacillati; Actinomycetota; Actinomycetes; Bifidobacteriales; Bifidobacteriaceae. The record is from RNAcentral.
GCCGGAUGUUCCACAUGAUCGCAUGUGAUUGUGGGAAAGAUUCUAUCGGCGUGGGAUGGGGUCGCGUCCUAUCAGCUUGUUGGUGAGGUAACGGCUCACCAAGGCUUCGACGGGUAGCCGGCCUGAGAGGGCGACCGGCCACAUUGGGACUGAGAUACGGCCCAGACUCCUACGGGAGGCAGCAGUGGGGAAUAUUGCACAAUGGGCGCAAGCCUGAUGCAGCGACGCCGCGUGAGGGAUGGAGGCCUUCGGGUUGUAAACCUCUUUUGUUUGGGAGCAAGCCUUCGGGUGAGUGUACCUUUCGAAUAAGCGCCGGCUAACUACGUGCCAGCAGCCGCGGUAAUACGUAGGGCGCAAGCGUUAUCCGGAUUUAUUGGGCGUAAAGGGCUCGUAGGCGGCUCGUCGCGUCCGGUGUGAAAGUCCAUCGCUUAACGGUGGAUCUGCGCCGGGUACGGGCGGGCUGGAGUGCGGUAGGGGAGACUGGAAUUCCCGGUGUAACGGUGGAAUGUGUAGAUAUCGGGA